Molecule: ribosomal RNA, 303 nt
Filed under: Triticum aestivum (bread wheat)
Lineage: Eukaryota; Viridiplantae; Streptophyta; Magnoliopsida; Poales; Poaceae
Description: partial small subunit ribosomal RNA
Source: RNAcentral
AUGGCGCUCACAGCUGGGUGCAAUAGACUGAUUGGCAACUCGGAUAAUCUGGAACUCAUGGAAAUAAUGAAUAAGGAUGGCCAAUAUGCUGGAGAUGCCGCGGCCAUUGUCGAUGAUUGUUAUCAUCUGGCUUGCGAAUUUAGCUCUAUUGUCUUCGAAUUUUGCCCCAGAGAGUCGAAUGGGGUUGCACAUGAACUAGCUAGGAUUGCUAGAAGUUCGCUUUGUAAUGAGUGGUUAGAUAAUGCUCCUUCUGAGCUUCUUCCCCUACUACUUAAAGAUGUAAGUCUGAUCACGAAUGAAUAA